This is an RNA transcript of Puntigrus tetrazona (Sumatra barb), 1965 nucleotides long. It is a transcript of the gene named biogenesis of lysosomal organelles complex-1, subunit 1, with no coding region annotated. NCBI's taxonomy places the organism in Eukaryota, Metazoa, Chordata, Actinopteri, Cypriniformes, Cyprinidae. The transcript has 5 exons. The record is from RefSeq and is a predicted model, not a curated record.
UUCCUUUUACGCAUGGACCCUCCGCGCUUUCCGUAUGUUUUGGGACGUUUGUCAUGUGAGUCCAGGGAUUGUCAAAACGUUUAGAGAAAACCGACUUCAUCAAAUGAACGUGUUUUAUUUUCCAUCACGAUAAAUGGUUAAAAUGCUCUCCCGUUUAUUAAAAGAACACCAAGCGAAACAAAACGAAAGGAAAGAGUUACAAGAAAGACGAAGACGAGAGGCCAUAGCAGCAGCAACAUGUUUAACAGAAGCCCUGGUGGAUCAUCUCAACGUAGGGGUGGCCCAGGCGUACGUCAACCAGCGCAAGCUGGACCACGAGGUGAAGACGUUGCAGGUUCAGGCCAGUCAGUUUGCCAAGCAAACGGCCCAGUGGAUCAACAUGGUGGAGAACUUCAACCAGGCUUUAAAAGAAAUCGGAGACGUGGAGAACUGGGCGCGAAGCAUUGAGAUGGACAUGCGGACGAUCGCGACGGCUUUGGAGUACGUGCACAAAGGCCCGGUUCAGCCGGCGUCUUCGUGAGCCGACGGACUCUGAUGGUCCGAAACGGACAGAAGCACUGAGGCUUUUCUUCAAGCCGUUGGUGAAACUCGGACAGGACGCUGUUAUUUUCCCCCCCACACAUUUUACCACCCCAAGUUUUCCUUGUACACCUGCACAGAUUCACCGUCCAGCUUCUGGCUUGUUUUGACCAACAUUUGGCCUCGGCAAUGAACGUAUAGUACCAGAAUUACGAAACCCUGUCCCUUUUUUAGCUUUUAUAGACGUGACGGUGCGCUAAAAUAGAUUUUAUGCAUUUUUUUGUGGGAUUUCACGGUUGGCUCAGUUUUACUUAACCCACUAACUACUAACACCGUGACGCUGCAUAAUCCACUUUUACAACAAGGUCUUUCAGCCUCGGGAUUAACAUUAAGGACAAACAGUAAAACAUUAAAAACUAGCCCGAGCAGAAUGUGGAGGUUUUUAAAUCCCAACACGCCAGGUUAUAAAUAUUCGCUCCGCUCCACUGCAUAUUUCCAGUAGUUUUAUUUAUCUUUAUUUCUCAAGAUCCAAACCGUUUAUGGGCAAAAACAGAUCACUCCAUAUUUAAAUGUUAAACAGUUAUGUUUUUUAUUAUGCUGUCACAUCGUUUUAUUGCAUUAGCUGUAUUUAUUUGGUUGGUUAGUUAGUUUUUAAUCAAAAACCAAAUGCAGCUUGACUUAGAUUAACUGGAAUGCACGGUUUUUUUAAAAAGCAGAUGCUCCCCAUAAUGGUGACGAAUUGUUGAAUAAAGUCAUUAUUUAAAUUUUCUUUUUCGUACAAAAACCAUUCUCGUAGCCAUUACAGUUGAACCACUGAUAAGUCUUUCGUACUUUUCUGGACCUCGACCGGGGUUCAUCACUCGGCAGUCAAUAUUUUAAUCCAAAAUAUUAUCCAAAGUAUCGUAGGCUACGUCUGUUAUCACAGUUAUUUCAUAAAUGUAAGACACGACUGUGUGUGAUUGUAAGAAAAAUAGGUUUUCACGAUUUCUUUGGGGUUGGGUUAUGGCACUGUUGUGGUUCAGUUCUGGCUAAAAUACGUUGGCCUGAACACAUAUUAAUCUCUCUCUUUUUUUUGUACAACGAGAAAUAUAAAAUCUCGUUAUUACGAACUGAGUGGGAUAAUGGUGUGCGUUUCAACGCUGCGUUAAGGAAAGAGUUUACCGCCGUUUUCGAAAGAGGUUUAAAGCGGACUUUGUUUACAGUUUCUGGAGCUAAAUGCUAAUUUUGUUUUAAAAAGGGCGCGCGUGACCAACCCAAAAACUACCAGGGCGAUUGCUCAAGUGGAAACUUCACUUCACAAUAAAAUAACAAAAGCUUCUUCUAUUCGACGACUAUUACUACUAAUUACAAACGAGUGCACGCAAAAAUAUAAACUACAGCGAAACAAUCAUUGCUAGCGGCGAGUAGCCUAACAAUGUAAACGGAUAUAGAAAUAAAGCGUCAAAC